CCUACGGGAGGCAGCAGUGAGGAAUAUUGGUCAAUGGGCGCGAGCCUGAUCCAGCAAAGUAGCGUGAAGGAAGACUGCCCUCCGGGUUGUAAACUUCUUUUAUAAAGGCGUAAGGUGAGGCGCGUGUGCCUUUUUGUGUGUACUUUAUGUAUAAGGAUCGGCUAACUCCGUGCCAGCAGCCGCGGUAAUACGGAGGAUCCGAGCGUUAUCCGGAUUUAUUGGGUUUAAAGGGAGCGUAGAUGGGUUGGUAAGUCAGUUGUGAAGGUUUGCGGCUCAACCGUAAAAGUGCAAGUGAUACUGGCAGGAUUGAGUACAGGUGAGGUAGGCGGAAUGCGUGGUGUAGCGGUGAAAUGCGUAGAUAGCACGAAGAACGCCGAUUGCGAAGGCAGCUUACUAAACUGCCACUGACAUUGAUGCUCGAAAGUGUGGGUAUCAAACAGGAUUAGAUACCCCAGUAGUC
This 460-nucleotide ribosomal RNA is filed under the name uncultured bacterium. Its description in RNAcentral is "partial 16S ribosomal RNA". It matches the Rfam family "Bacterial small subunit ribosomal RNA", at positions 338 to 795 of the family's 1533-position model. The record is from RNAcentral.